This is a non-coding RNA of Salmo salar (Atlantic salmon), 54 nucleotides long. The record is from Rfam. NCBI's taxonomy places the organism in Eukaryota, Metazoa, Chordata, Actinopteri, Salmoniformes, Salmonidae.
UGCACUCACUACUGUAAAUCGCUCUGGAUAAGAGUGUCUGCUAAAUGACUAAAA